GUAUGGUUGCAAAGCUGAAACUUAAAGGAAUUGACGGAAGGGCACCACCAGGAGUGGAGCCUGCGGCUUAAUUUGACUCAACACGGGGAAACUCACCCGGCCCGGACACCGUAAGGAUUGACAGAUUGAUAGCUUUUUCAUGAUUCGGUGGAUGGUGGUGCAUGGCCGUUCUUAGUUCGUGGAGCGAUUUGUCUGGUUUAUUCCGAUAACGAGCGAGACUCUGGCCUACUAAAUAGUUGGCGCAUUGCUACUGUGCGCACUACACUUCUUAGAGGGAUUUUCGGUGUUCAGCCGCACGAAAUUGAGCAAUAACAGGUCUGUGAUGCCCUUAGAUGUCCGGGGCUGCACGCGCGCUACACUGGCAAAAUCAGCGUGCUUGUCCUUCCCCGAAAGGGGUUGGUAAACCCGUGAAAAUUUGCCGUGAUUGGGAUCGGACAUUGCAAUUAUUGUCCGUGAACGAGGAAUUCCUUGUAGGGGCGAGUCAUCAACUCGCUCUGAAUACGUCCCUGCCCUUUGUACACACCGCCCGUCGCUGCCCGGGACUGAGCCAUUUCGAGAAACUCGGGGAUUGUUGGUCUGUCAGCUCUCGGGCUGCCGUUCCGGCGAGAACCGAUUUAAUCGCAGUGGCUGAACU
Molecule: ribosomal RNA, 634 nt
Filed under: Helicotylenchus dihystera
Lineage: Eukaryota; Metazoa; Nematoda; Chromadorea; Rhabditida; Hoplolaimidae
Description: SSU rRNA
Rfam family: Eukaryotic small subunit ribosomal RNA
Source: RNAcentral